CAUGAAGCUUACUGUUGGGAAUGUGUGGCAAAUUGUAUAUUUCUAUGCGGGUAGGUCCGAAUUGGACCAUGUUCCCCAAUUAUAUCCAUAAUGUACUGUGUAUUUUUAUGUUGUUAUAUGUUUAUUAUUUGGCAAAGUGCAAUAAAAAUAGCGAUUAUUUAUUCGAAAAACGUUUAAAUAUGCAAAAACAAGAAAUGUGUCUUGCUCAAGGGGUGGAUCACUUGUUCAGUGCACAUCAGAUGUACAUCGAUUUGCAUCAAAUGCAUUUUAUUGGUAUUCACAUCAACUUAGCACAGGCCCAUACCAUUGUAUAGUGCUAUAGCAACACGUCAUUGUUUGUUGUGAUUGUUUUGAAAUUGUUGUAUUCGAUAAUCAAGCUUUUUUAAAACCGGGAAAUAAAAUCAGUUCAAAAUCCGGACGAUGCUAGACAUGAAGAUCAAGCAUGUAUCAGAAGGACUUUUUCUUCAAGAACGGCCCAUGCGUACAUUGUAGAGAAAAGAUAAAUUGCCAGGUGACAGGAAUACACUGUUGCACUGAGGACUAAUCAGAAGUACUCGGAACCAUCUUCCCAAGAAACCUAUUUACCAGUGGCAAAAAGAAUCUGCAUAGAUUCGCUAAUUAAUAAUAAAAAAAAAAACAAACAAUUGCAUUUUUUGUCCCUUAUCUUAUUUCCAACAAUGUCGGUUGGGGACAAUUAAAGAACGAUGAGCUCUUUAAAUUGAUAUUCUCCCUCUUAAGUAUUGCUUCCGGUUUUCCUUGCAGAAUGUACAUUUCUAAGAAGAAGCGUUUAAUUACCGCAAUAUUUGGA
Molecule: long non-coding RNA, 808 nt
Organism: Aedes aegypti (yellow fever mosquito)
Lineage: Eukaryota; Metazoa; Arthropoda; Insecta; Diptera; Culicidae
Exons: 2
Source: RefSeq, a predicted model, not a curated record